This 649-nucleotide unclassified non-coding RNA is filed under the name Clavariaceae sp. STDS-1-11. RNAcentral's name for it is "partial contains small subunit rRNA gene, partial sequence, ITS1, 5.8S rRNA gene and ITS2, complete sequence, and large subunit rRNA gene, partial sequence". The stretch from base 235 to 389 matches the Rfam family "5.8S ribosomal RNA". The record is from RNAcentral. Lineage: Eukaryota; Fungi; Basidiomycota; Agaricomycetes; Agaricales; Clavariaceae.
GGAAGUAAAAGUCGUAACAAGGUUUCCGUAGGUGAACCUGCGGAAGGAUCAUUAUCGAAUGUAAACAAUGGGAGAUGCUGCUGGCCAUUCAUUUGGUAUUUGUGCACUCUCCCAGCAUUCAAAUCCACCUGUGCACAUUGAGUAGGCAUGGAUAUUCAUAUCUGUUGCCUAUGCUUUUAUUAUACACACUCAUGCUGUGAAAGAUUGUAUAAAUGGAUAAUAUAAAGUUUUUACAACUUUCAACAAUGGAUCUCUUGGUUCUCGCAUCGAUGAAGAACGCAGCGAAUUGCGAUAUGUAAUGUGAAUUGCAGAAUUCAGUGAAUCAUCGAAUCUUUGAACGCAUCUUGCGCCCUUUGGUUACUCCGAAGGGCAUGCCUGUUUGAGAGUCAUUAUUAUUCUCAACUUUAGAGUUUGUUAUGAACUUUGAAGCUUGGAUAUGGGGGACAUUUGCUGGCAUUUGUUAUGUUAGCUCCCCUCAAAUGCAUUAGCAGAACUGUCAAGGGAUGUCUUGGCUCUGGUUUGAUAAGUGAAAUAUCUAUGCCGUUGCUGAGAGCUUUCAUGGUUCAGCUUCUAACCUUUGUAUUUGAAAACUUGACCUCAAAUCAGGUAGGACUACCCGCUGAACUUAAGCAUAUCAAUAAGCGGAGGA